This 900-nucleotide ribosomal RNA is filed under the name Triticum aestivum (bread wheat). RNAcentral's name for it is "partial small subunit ribosomal RNA". Lineage: Eukaryota; Viridiplantae; Streptophyta; Magnoliopsida; Poales; Poaceae. The record is from RNAcentral.
AUGGAGGACCUCAGCGUCGAGGAGCUCGCCUCCAAUCUCUCCACCUACAAGGACCAGCUCCGCGAGGUUAGGAAGUUCAUCAAGGAGAAAAAAGAUGAUGCUGGAAUUUCUGAAUAUGUCGAUAUGGAAAAGGAGCUUCAAGAGGUUAUUACAUUAACCGAAGAGCUUUUGGCAACUGCAAAUCCAAGUGAGAGUGCGCAGAAUGAUGUAGGUCUAUCGCCGCCAAAUUAUUCUGCUGGAGUGCACUCAGAGGCACUGGAUGGCCUCUCACAAUCCCAUGAAAAAUUUGCAGUUGGUACCAAAGUGCAAGCUGUGUAUAGUGAAGAUGGGGAGUGGUACAAUGCGACAAUUGAAGGUCUGACACCAAUCGGCUAUUUUGUCAGUUAUGAAGGCUGGGGAAACAAGGAAGAGGUGGACCCUGCUAAUGUCAGGGCACUUGACGUGGAAGCUGCUGAUGCUUUAGGACUAGCUGAAAAAGAAGCUGAAGCGACAAAAAUGGCAUUAAAGAGAAAAGUUGAACAAGCAGCAACAUCUGACUAUCAGAUUCGUAGCUUACCCACAAAACUUAAGAUCGAUCCAAAUGAUCCUGAAGAUGUGAAAGCUGCAAAGCGUAAGAAGAUCCAUGCUUUCAAAUCAAAAGCCCGCUUUGAGCAACUAGAUUUCGCACAGAAUAAGCGGCAAAAUGCAUGGCAACAGUUCCAGACUACCAAAGGAAAGGCUAAGAAGGUGGGAUUCUUUUCGGGUCGCAAGAAGGAGAGCAUCUUCAAGUCACCGGAAGAUCACAGAGGUAAGGUGGGGGUCACUGGUAGUGGGAAAGGCCUGACUGACUUCCAGAGGAGGGAGAAGCACCUUCAUCUCAAGGAUGGCUCUUCUGGGGAUACACUGGACUGUGAGGAAUAA